RNAcentral lists this ribosomal RNA (483 nucleotides) under uncultured bacterium. Its description in RNAcentral is "partial 16S ribosomal RNA". It matches the Rfam family "Bacterial small subunit ribosomal RNA", at positions 28 to 507 of the family's 1533-position model. The record is from RNAcentral.
AUUGAACGCUGGCGGCAUGCUUUACACAUGCAAGUCGAACGGCAGCGCGGGCUUCGGCCUGGCGGCGAGUGGCGAACGGGUGAGUAAUGCAUCGGAACGUGCCCAGUAGUGGGGAUAGCCCGGCGAAAGCCGGAUUAAUACCGCAUACGACCUGAGGGUGAAAGCGGGGGACCGAAAGGCCUCGCGCUAUUGGAGCGGCCGAUGUCGGAUUAGCUAGUUGGUGGGGUAAAGGCUUACCAAGGCGACGAUCCGUAGCUGGUCUGAGAGGACGACCAGCCACACUGGGACUGAGACACGGCCCAGACUCCUACGGGAGGCAGCAGUGGGGAAUUUUGGACAAUGGGGGCAACCCUGAUUCAGCCAUGCCGCGUGCGGGAAGAAGGCCUUCGGGUUGUAAACCGCUUUUGUUCGGGAAGAAAUCCUCUGGGCUAAUACCCCGGGGGGAUGACGGUACCGGAAGAAUAAGCACCGGCUAACUACGUG